AAUCAACGCUGGCGGCGUGCCUAACACAUGCAAGUCGAACGAGAAAGUGGAGCAAUCCAUGAGUACAGUGGCGACCGGGUGAGUAACACGUGACUAACCUACCCUAGAGUGGGGGAUAACCCCGGGAAACCGGGGCUAAUACCGCAUGACAUCGCGAGGGGAAGAUCACUGCGAUCAAAGGAGUAAUCCGCUCAAGGAGGGGGUCGCGGCUGAUUAGCUAGUUGGUAGGGUAACGGCCUACCAAGACGAAGAUCAGUAGCCGGCCUGAGAGGGCGCACGGCCACACUGGAACUGAAACACGGUCCAGACUCCUACGGGAGGCAGCAGUGGGGAAUUUUGCGCAAUGGGGGAAACCCUGACGCAGCAACGCCGCGUGGAGGAUGAAGUCCCUUGGGAUGUAAACUCCUUUCGAUCGGGACGAUUAUGACGGUACCGGAAGAAGAAGCACCGGCUAACUCUGUGCCAGCAGCCGCGGUAA
This 478-nucleotide ribosomal RNA is filed under the name uncultured bacterium. Its description in RNAcentral is "partial 16S ribosomal RNA". It matches the Rfam family "Bacterial small subunit ribosomal RNA", at positions 32 to 523 of the family's 1533-position model. The record is from RNAcentral.